UCCCCGUUAUCCUGUGCAGUUCAAACCCAGGUAAGGUUCUUCGCGUUGCCUCGAAUUAAACCACACGCUCCGCUGCUUGUGCGGGCCCCCGCCUAUUCCUUUGAGUUUUAACCUUGCGGCCGUAGUCCCCAGGCGGUGAACUUAAUGCGUUAGCUGCGGCACUGAUCGGGUCAAUCCGACCAACACCUAGUUCACAACGUUUAGGGCGUAGACUAC
This 216-nucleotide unclassified non-coding RNA is filed under the name uncultured Chloroflexota bacterium. RNAcentral describes it as "uncultured Chloroflexi bacterium contains 16S-23S intergenic spacer region". Lineage: Bacteria; Bacillati; Chloroflexota. The record is from RNAcentral.